Kogia breviceps (pygmy sperm whale) is the source of this 160-nucleotide non-coding RNA. Lineage: Eukaryota; Metazoa; Chordata; Mammalia; Artiodactyla; Physeteridae. The record is from RefSeq and is a predicted model, not a curated record.
CCUUUAGACUUCGCUACUGCUUCUCUGCCGCCCCUCACCAGCCUUUGCAGUGCCCUGUGCCCUUGGAGGAGAGUCAGAAAGGAAGAGCCUGGGCCAGCUCCGCUCCUUUGGCGCAAGAGGACUUUGUCCUGAGGUGUGAGGAACCUGCCUGGGAUAAAAG